RNAcentral lists this long non-coding RNA (313 nucleotides) under Bos taurus (domestic cattle). RNAcentral describes it as "long non-coding RNA NONBTAT018709". The record is from RNAcentral. Lineage: Eukaryota; Metazoa; Chordata; Mammalia; Artiodactyla; Bovidae.
UUUUCCUCCAAAACAAUUUUUAUUUCCUCCAAAUAUACCACACUGAAAGUGAAUAGGUAUUAUACUAAAGCCACAUGUUUUUGUUGUAGUGUUGCAAAUAUUAACUUCGAGUUGAAUGUGAUUCUUUAAGCUAGACUGAAAGAUGAUCUAAUUAUUUACAUAUAAACUAUAUAUUUCUAAGCUAAAAAGUGCUUUUCUCUUCAAAUUUUGGUUGCAAAGCCUUAAACGCAUAAACCAUAAGUGCAUAUUACAAAAAAUGCCAACAUCAAUACAGAUUUUUUUUAAUUUCAUGAAAUUGUAAAGCUAGUAAUGU